This 253-nucleotide ribosomal RNA is filed under the name uncultured bacterium. RNAcentral describes it as "partial 16S ribosomal RNA". It matches the Rfam family "Bacterial small subunit ribosomal RNA", at positions 524 to 776 of the family's 1533-position model. The record is from RNAcentral.
UACGGAGGAUGCAAGCGUUAUCCGGAAUGAUUGGGCGUAAAGCGUCCGCAGGUGGCAAUGUAAGUCUGCUGUCAAAGCGUCUGGCUCAACCAGAUAAAGGCAGUGGAAACUACAUAGCUAAAGUAAGGUAGGGGUAGAGGGAAUUCCUGGUGUAGCGGUGAAAUGCGUAGAGAUCAGGAAGAACACCGGUGGCGAAAGCGCUCUGCUGGACCUUAACUGACACUGAGGGACGAAAGCUAGGGGAGCGAAUGGG